This 883-nucleotide long non-coding RNA is filed under the name Ananas comosus (pineapple). RNAcentral describes it as "long non-coding RNA (ACOM_LNC007436)". The record is from RNAcentral. Lineage: Eukaryota; Viridiplantae; Streptophyta; Magnoliopsida; Poales; Bromeliaceae.
AAAUAUUAUGCUUAAAAUUUAAGGAUCAAAAUGAAACUGUUGGAUUUGACUUACAUGUGAAAUUAAUUCUGCCUGUUGGAUUAUUAUAUUAUUAUUUAACUGUUAUAGCUGAAACUGUAAAGCAGGUUUAACUAUAGUAAAUAGAACUGCAUCUAAAUACAAUUUACCUAGACAAACCUUUUAUACAAUUUACCUCUACUUAUACCUUUUAAACAAAAAGCAUAAUAUAUAUUUUUUUAUAUGGGAGGUAAUUUCACUAUCUUAUAUAUAAAGUAAUGAAAUUUAUAAAUAUAAUUGUUAAAUAUUUACCACCAAAUAAAUAUUUAUAGUUACAAUGUUUUAUAUUACAACAAAUCAAGUAAAAUGCAUACAACUAUAAUUAUUGUGUUUAUAAUUGCAUGCAUAUUAACUAUACUAUAUUUACAAUUAUAAUCAGCCAAACAGCUCAUAAGGUCAUAUUUAUAUGUCUGACUAAGUUAUCCAGUAAUAAUUUGUUUAGUACGAAAUUUUCUAUUGUGAUUAGAAAUUAUGAGUUUAUUUUUAUUUCUUCAAAAGUUUCGAUCGGCAUCUACAAUUUCGAACGACAAAACAUUUUACCUAUAAAAUAACUUCCUGUAUUCAAAAAAAUAAUUUGAAGGCCGAAUAUAAUAUGUCUUGUUAUGGAUGUAACUAUACUCCUCAAAUACUACAAGUUUAUCGAAUAAUAUGCUAGCGCAAGUGACAAAAGGGUUUGAUGGUUGUUAUCCGAGACCCAAGUUCGAAUCCUAGUUGAUUCACAUUUCCAGCUAAGUUUAUUUCUAAAUAAAAUAAACGAAAGAGAUAGCGUACUACCUAUCUCUCAAAAUAAAUAAAUAAAUAAAUAAAUAUGUGCACGUAUCUUAAC